This 298-nucleotide long non-coding RNA is filed under the name Medicago truncatula (barrel medic). RNAcentral describes it as "lncRNA gene33065". The record is from RNAcentral. Lineage: Eukaryota; Viridiplantae; Streptophyta; Magnoliopsida; Fabales; Fabaceae.
AGGGGCUCAUAUCAAGUGUAAAUUUUGAAAGAUCUGUCACUGUGGGAAAAAAAACCCAAUUCAAUUUAAGGGACAGUAUGAGAAAGAUGAAAAGUAGAAAGAAGAUGCAGACAGAAUCUGAGAUACCAAAGCCAAACCUUUUCAUGAAAAUGGCGUGGCGGCACCUUCAAGUUCUGGCUUAUGUAUAUGUUUUUCUUUUUCUUUGUUUGGAUAUGACUCUUGAUAGAAAUUGGGUUGUGAUUUUGCAAUGGAAUUGGGUAUUUCCCACUCGAGGCCUCUCUCAUUCUAAUCAUUGCCC